AUAUAUGUAAGAAAAUUUAGUAAAAUAUGAUUUUAGUAUUGUUUGGUUUUUUACGCAGAGUUCAAUUAUAUUAUUUUACUACAUCAAUUUUUUUUGUAUUGUUUUGCAGAGUUUAGUUAUAUGAAUUGUAUCCUCAUCCUGUGUGAAAACUCUAGAAAUUGUGUAACCACAUCCUUCAGCUUUCUCCUCAAUUGAUCCGUUCAAAUUAUGUAUUAAUGAUGUAGCUGCUUUAAUUGAAGUCCUAACAAUCUACACCCCAAAUUCUCAAUGAUAUGUUUGGGAUUGUAGUUGGGGAUGGACGAAGGCCAACCCGCUGCUCCAAUCAUAGCACUACGAAUGGUGGAAAUGUCAAGAAUAAACCACUCGGGCUCAAUAUCGUCCACAUUCUCAUUAAGAUAACUUAAUAGGUCGUCAUCGUCUUUAAGAAACAAGACUCUAGUUAUUGAUGAGCGACUGUUAAUUUAUAGAAGUUUUACUU
This 478-nucleotide small RNA is filed under the name Arabidopsis thaliana (thale cress). RNAcentral describes it as "ATSL145590". Lineage: Eukaryota; Viridiplantae; Streptophyta; Magnoliopsida; Brassicales; Brassicaceae. The record is from RNAcentral.